AAUCAACGCUGGCGGCGUGCCUCAGACAUGCAAGUCGAACGAUUAAAGCUCUCUUCGGAGAGUGCAUAGAGUGGCGCACGGGUGAGUAACACGUAAGUAAUCUACCUUCGAGUGGGGAAUAACAACCGGAAACGGUUGCUAAUACCGCAUAAUGCAGCGGCAUCGCAAGAUGACAGUUGUUAAAGGAGCAAUUCGCUUAAAGAGGAGCUUGCGGCAGAUUAGCUAGUUGGUAAGGUAAUGGCUUACCAAGGCUACGAUCUGUAACCGGUCUUAGAGGACGGUCGGUCACACUGACACUGAAUAACGGGUCAGACUCCUACGGGAGGCAGCAGUCGGGAAUUUUGGGCAAUGGGCGAAAGCCUGACCCAGCAACGCCGCGUGAAGGAUGAAGUAUUUCGGUAUGUAAACUUCGAAAGAAUAGGAAGAAUUAAUGACGGUACUAUUUAUAAGGUCCGGCUAACUACGUGCCAGCAGCCGCGGUAAGUGACGUCAGA
Molecule: ribosomal RNA, 494 nt
Filed under: uncultured bacterium
Lineage: Bacteria
Description: bacterial SSU rRNA
Rfam family: Bacterial small subunit ribosomal RNA
Source: RNAcentral